RNAcentral lists this ribosomal RNA (208 nucleotides) under uncultured bacterium. Its description in RNAcentral is "partial 16S ribosomal RNA". It matches the Rfam family "Bacterial small subunit ribosomal RNA", at positions 568 to 774 of the family's 1533-position model. The record is from RNAcentral.
AGCGCAGGCGGGAAGGUAAGUCGGUCUUAAAAGUGCGGGGCUCAACCCCCGGUGAUGGGAUCGAAACUAUCUUUCUUGAGUGCAGGAGAGGAAAGUGGAAUUCCUAGUGUAGCGGUGAAAUGCGUAGAUAUUAGGAGGAACAUCAGUUGCGAAGGCGGCUCUCUGGACUGUAACUGACACUGAGGCACGAAAGCGUGGGGAGCAAACA